CUAUAUAUGGAGAUUUCAGGUGCCGGUGAUUGUCCGGCUUAAAAGGGAAUUCGGUGAAAUGCCGAAGCUGUCCCCGCAACUGUAAUUGUGGACGAAAUGGAACUGCCACUGUACAGAUUAGCUAUGAAAAUGGCUGCUGUAUGGGAAGGCCCAAAGUAGGAUGAAGCAUAAGCCAGUAGACCUGCCUGAAUCUCUUGUUUUCU
RNAcentral lists this non-coding RNA (203 nucleotides) under Fictibacillus arsenicus. Lineage: Bacteria; Bacillati; Bacillota; Bacilli; Caryophanales; Fictibacillaceae. The record is from RNAcentral.